This 635-nucleotide long non-coding RNA is filed under the name Homo sapiens (human). Its description in RNAcentral is "non-protein coding lnc-C5orf38-1:9". The record is from RNAcentral. Lineage: Eukaryota; Metazoa; Chordata; Mammalia; Primates; Hominidae.
CAAAUAUUUAUUGAAUGAAUGGAUCAAUCAACCAAUCAAACUAUGCAAAAUAAAGAGCAUAAGACUGUGAGAGAGGAGACGAAAGCCUGGCUGGGAGGGAAAGGCCAUAAGGAGUAAUAAGAUAGGAAAGUGUUAGGGUGUGUGGGAGAUCACAAAACAGUAUUUUCAGCGGUCUCCGUUGAGAGUUGACAUCUGCUUUUCCACCCCUCGAAUCUAGGUUUGGCCUUGCAACAGAUGGACCAACAGAACACUAGGAAACACGAUUCAAGUAGCAUCUUGAAAUGUGAUCCUGCAUUGGGGGUCCCCUCUCUUCACUGCACCCGGAACUUCCUCCAAGAAACAGUGGUCUGUGUGGGCACAAAUGAGCUACAGCACGUAUAAGUCAAUGGGAAGAAAGGAAAUGCUCACUAUGCUAGAAGUGACAGUAGAAACUUCCAUUGUGUGUGACUGGAGAGGCACAAAUGAAGGGCAUCUCCCAAAGUGAGUGAGAAGAGUUCAGACUGAAUAUCUCAAAACCUAAGCUCAUGUAAGGGAACAGGCAGGGCAGCCCACUGGAUUGCUGUCUCUCCUAUGAAAAGGAAUCACUGGAGCUGGUGGCACAUGGGUGAGCUGGAGAAAUUGCUCGUGGAAUUGAG